Molecule: non-coding RNA, 21 nt
Filed under: Caenorhabditis elegans
Lineage: Eukaryota; Metazoa; Nematoda; Chromadorea; Rhabditida; Rhabditidae
Source: RNAcentral
UGGGUUUGAUUGAUCAACAGU